Molecule: ribosomal RNA, 446 nt
Filed under: uncultured bacterium
Lineage: Bacteria
Description: partial 16S ribosomal RNA
Rfam family: Bacterial small subunit ribosomal RNA
Source: RNAcentral
UAGGGAAUCUUCCACAAUGGACGCAAGUCUGAUGGAGCAACGCCGCGUGAGUGAAGAAGGUUUUCGGAUCGUAAAGCUCUGUUGUUGGUGAAGAAGGAUAGAGGCAGUAACUGGUCUUUAUUUGACGGUAAUCAACCAGAAAGUCACGGCUAACUACGUGCCAGCAGCCGCGGUAAUACGUAGGUGGCAAGCGUUGUCCGGAUUUAUUGGGCGUAAAGCGAGCGCAGGCGGAAUGAUAAGUCUGAUGUGAAAGCCCACGGCUCAACCGUGGAACUGCAUCGGAAACUGUCAUUCUUGAGUGCAGAAGAGGAGAGUGGAACUCCAUGUGUAGCGGUGGAAUGCGUAGAUAUAUGGAAGAACACCAGUGGCGAAGGCGGCUCUCUGGUCUGCAACUGACGCUGAGGCUCGAAAGCAUGGGUAGCGAACAGGAUUAGAUACCCUGGUAG